AGUGAACGCUGGCGGUAGGCCUAACACAUGCAAGUCGAACGGCAGCACAGUAAGAGCUUGCUCUUACGGGUGGCGAGUGGCGGACGGGUGAGGAAUAAAUCGGAAUCUACUUUUUCGUGGGGGAUAACGUAGGGAAACUUACGCUAAUACCGCAUACGACCUACGGGUGAAAGCAGGGGAUCUUCGGACCUUGCGCGAUUGAAUGAGCCGAUGUCGGAUUAGCUAGUUGGCGGGGUAAAGGCCCACCAAGGCGACGAUCCGUAGCUGGUCUGAGAGGAUGAUCAGCCACACUGGAACUGAGACACGGUCCAGACUCCUACGGGAGGCAGCAGUGGGGAAUAUUGGACAAUGGGCGCAAGCCUGAUCCAGCCAUACCGCGUGGGUGAAGAAGGUCUUCGGGUUGUAAAGCCCUUUUGUUGGGAAAGAAAAGCAGCAGGUUAAUACCCCGCUGUUCUGACGGUACCCAAAGAAUAAGCACCGGCUAACUUCGUG
This 492-nucleotide ribosomal RNA is filed under the name uncultured bacterium. Its description in RNAcentral is "partial 16S ribosomal RNA". It matches the Rfam family "Bacterial small subunit ribosomal RNA", at positions 29 to 507 of the family's 1533-position model. The record is from RNAcentral.